AACCAGCUCUUCAAGUGGUCGGGACAAUUAUUGGGCUUAAAGUGUCCGUAGCCGGUUUGGUAAGUCCCUGGUAAAACCUGGUAGCUUAACUAUCAGUUCGCUAGGGAAACUAUCUAGCUAGAGGGCGGGAAAGGUCUGAGGUACUCCAGGGGUAGCGGUGAAAUGCGAUAAUCCUUGGGGGACCACCAGUGGCGAAAGCGUCAGACUGGAACGCGCCUGACGGUGAGGGACGAAAGCCAGGGGAGCGAACGGG
This 253-nucleotide ribosomal RNA is filed under the name uncultured bacterium. RNAcentral describes it as "partial 16S ribosomal RNA". It matches the Rfam family "Archaeal small subunit ribosomal RNA", at positions 474 to 727 of the family's 1478-position model. The record is from RNAcentral.